UUUAUCGGAGAGUUUGAUCCUGGCUCAGGACGAACGCUGGCGGCGUGCCUAAUACAUGCAAGUCGAGCGGACAGAUGGGAGCUUGCUCCCUGAUGUUAGCGGCGGACGGGUGAGUAACACGUGGGUAACCUGCCUGUAAGACUGGGAUAACUCCGGGAAACCGGGGCUAAUACCGGAUGGUUGUCUGAACCGCAUGGUUCAGACAUAAAAGGUGGCUUCGGCUACCACUUACAGAUGGACCCGCGGCGCAUUAGCUAGUUGGUGAGGUAACGGCUCACCAAGGCGACGAUGCGUAGCCGACCUGAGAGGGUG
This 312-nucleotide ribosomal RNA is filed under the name Bacillus sp. LYLB4. RNAcentral's name for it is "bacterial SSU rRNA". It matches the Rfam family "Bacterial small subunit ribosomal RNA", at positions 1 to 302 of the family's 1533-position model. Lineage: Bacteria; Bacillati; Bacillota; Bacilli; Caryophanales; Bacillaceae. The record is from RNAcentral.